RNAcentral lists this ribosomal RNA (305 nucleotides) under uncultured bacterium. RNAcentral describes it as "bacterial SSU rRNA". It matches the Rfam family "Bacterial small subunit ribosomal RNA", at positions 332 to 654 of the family's 1533-position model. The record is from RNAcentral.
GUUACCCUAUGGGAGGCAGCAGUGGGGAAUAUUGCACAAUGGGGGGAACCCUGAUGCAGCGACGCCGCGUGGGUGAAGGAGUAUUUCGGUAUGUAAAGCCCUAUCAGCAGGGAAGAACAAUGACGGUACCUGACUGAGAAGCACCGGCUAAAUACGUGCCAGCAGCCGCGGUAAUACGUAGGUGGCAAGCGUUGUCCGGAUUUACUGGGUGUAAAGGGCGUGCAGCCGGGAAGACAAGUCAGAUGUGAAAUCCCGCGGCUCAACCGCGGAACUGCAUUUGAAACUGUUUUUCUUGAGUACCGGAG